UACGUAGGGGGCGAGCGUUGUCCGAAGUUACUGGGCGUAAAGCGUGCGCAGGCGGUAAGUUAAGUCUGAUGUGAAAGCCCCGGGCUCAACCUGGGAAUGGCAUUGGAAACUGGCUUGCUGGAGUGUGGCAGAGGGGGGUGGAAUUCCGCGUGUAGCAGUGAAAUGCGUAGAGAUGCGGAGGAACACCGAUGGCGAAGGCAGCCCCCUGGGCCAACACUGACGCUCAGGCACGAAAGCGUGGGGAGCAAACAGG
Molecule: ribosomal RNA, 253 nt
Filed under: uncultured bacterium
Lineage: Bacteria
Description: partial 16S ribosomal RNA
Rfam family: Bacterial small subunit ribosomal RNA
Source: RNAcentral